RNAcentral lists this ribosomal RNA (431 nucleotides) under uncultured bacterium. RNAcentral's name for it is "partial 16S ribosomal RNA". It matches the Rfam family "Bacterial small subunit ribosomal RNA", at positions 29 to 505 of the family's 1533-position model. The record is from RNAcentral.
AACGAACGCUGGCGGCAUGCCUAACACAUGUAAGUCGAACGAGACCUUCGGGUCUAGUGGCGCACGGGUGCGUAACGCGUGGGAACCUGCCCUUAGGUUCGGAAUAACUCCCCGAAAGGGGUGCUAAUACCGGAUAAUGUCUUCGGACCAAAGAUUUAUCGCCUUUGGAUGGGCCCGCGUUGGAUUAGCUAGUUGGUAGGGUAAAAGCCUACCAAGGCGACGAUCCAUAGCUGGUCUGAGAGGAUGAUCAGCCACACUGGGACUGAGACACGGCCCAGACUCCUACGGGGGGCAGCAGUGGGGAAUAUUGGACAAUGGGCGAAAGCCUGAUCCAGCAAUGCCGCGUGAGUUAUGAAGGCCUUAGGGUUAUAAAGCUCUUUUACCCAGGAUGAUAAUGACAGGACCGGGAGAAUAAGCGCCGGCGAACUCCG